Rhododendron vialii is the source of this 336-nucleotide long non-coding RNA. RefSeq lists it as uncharacterized. The transcript has 2 exons. The record is from RefSeq and is a predicted model, not a curated record. Lineage: Eukaryota; Viridiplantae; Streptophyta; Magnoliopsida; Ericales; Ericaceae.
AAACAAUAUCCAUUCAUUAAAGAAUUGUAUGUGAUUAUAUUAGGAUGCGCACCUCUUUGAAUCAUGCUUUCAACUACUUCCUCUGCCUCUUUUACCUUCCCUUGCUUGCUAAGUGCAUCAACCAAGACAGUGAGUGUACGGACAUCUAGAGAGAUACCAAUAUCCAACAUUUCUCCUAACAUUCCAUUAGCCUCCUUCCACCGGCCACAACUACAUAAGCCAUGAAUCAAUGAGUUAUAAGUACCAACAUCUGGGUGAACCCCUUUCUCUUUCAUUUCGUAAAAAAGGUUCAAAGCAUCAUCCAACAUCAUAUCCUUGCAAUGACUGUCAAUGAUC